CCCAGACUCCUACGGGAGGCAGCAGUGGGGAAUAUUGCACAAUGGGGGAAACCCUGAUGCAGCGACGCCGCGUGAGUGAAGAAGUAUCUCGGUACGUAAAGCUCUAUCAGCAGGGAAGAAAAUGACGGUACCUGACUAAGAAGCCCCGGCUAACUACGUGCCAGCAGCCGCGGUAAUACGUAGGGGGCAAGCGUUAUCCGGAUUUACUGGGUGUAAAGGGAGCGUAGACGGCAGCACAAGUCUGGAGUGAAAUCCCGGGGCUUAACCCCGGAACUGCUUUGGAAACUGUAUAGCUUGAGUACUGGAGAGGCAGGCGGAAUUCCUAGUGUAGCGGUGAAAUGCGUAGAUAUUAGGAGGAACACCAGUGGCGAAGGCGGCCUGCUGGACAGAAACUGACGUUGAGGCUCGAAAGCGUGGGGAGCAAACAGGAUUAGAUACCCCUGUAAUC
Molecule: ribosomal RNA, 448 nt
Filed under: uncultured bacterium
Lineage: Bacteria
Description: bacterial SSU rRNA
Rfam family: Bacterial small subunit ribosomal RNA
Source: RNAcentral